This 539-nucleotide ribosomal RNA is filed under the name uncultured bacterium. RNAcentral describes it as "bacterial LSU rRNA". It matches the Rfam family "Bacterial large subunit ribosomal RNA", at positions 240 to 829 of the family's 2925-position model. The record is from RNAcentral.
UCAGUAGCGGCGAGCGAACGGGGACCGAGCCCAAAAGUUGAGACACGCAUAGCAGAAGUGACUGGAAAGUCACGCCAUAGCGAGUGACAGCCUCGUACGCGACAUGCCGGUUUCAAUGACAAUGAGUAAGGCGGGGCACGAGAAACCCUGUCUGAACAUGGGGGGACCAUCCUCCAAGGCUAAAUACUCCCUACCGACCGAUAGUGAACCAGUACCGUGAGGGAAAGGCGAAAAGAACCCCGUAGAGGGGAGUGAAAUAGACCCUGAAACCGUAUGCAUACAAGCAGUCGGAGCCCUGCGGGGUGACGGCGUACCUUUUGUAUAAUGGGUCAGCGACUUACAUCUCAGCGGCAAGCUUAACCGACGAGGGGAGGCGUAGCGAAAGCGAGUCUGAACAGGGCGCAUAGUCGUUGGGAGUAGACCCGAAACCGGGUGAUCUACCCCAUGGCCAGGGUGAAGGCGCGGUAACACGCGCUGGAGGCCCGCACCCACGUCUGUUGAAAAAAGACGGGGAUGAGCUGUGGGUCGGAGUGAAAGGC